RNAcentral lists this ribosomal RNA (106 nucleotides) under Aegilops tauschii subsp. strangulata. The record is from RNAcentral. Lineage: Eukaryota; Viridiplantae; Streptophyta; Magnoliopsida; Poales; Poaceae.
GGAUGCGAUCAUAGCAGCACUAAAGCACCGGAUCCCAUCAGAACUCCGAAGUUAAGCGUGCUUGCGUGAGAGUAGUACUAGGAUGGGUGACCUCGUGUUGCAUUCC